This 233-nucleotide ribosomal RNA is filed under the name uncultured bacterium. RNAcentral's name for it is "partial 16S ribosomal RNA". It matches the Rfam family "Bacterial small subunit ribosomal RNA", at positions 102 to 334 of the family's 1533-position model. The record is from RNAcentral.
CACGGGUGAGUAACACGUAUCCAACCUGCCGUCUACUCUUGGACAGCCUUCUGAAAGGAAGAUUAAUACAAGAUGGCAUCAUGAGUCCGCAUGUUCACAUGAUUAAAGGUAUUCCGGUAGACGAUGGGGAUGCGUUCCAUUAGAUAGUAGGCGGGGUAACGGCCCACCUAGUCAACGAUGGAUAGGGGUUCUGAGAGGAGGGUCCCCCACAUUGGAACUGAGACACGGUCCAA